Carassius auratus (goldfish) is the source of this 1124-nucleotide long non-coding RNA. RefSeq lists it as uncharacterized. The transcript is spliced from 3 exons. NCBI's taxonomy places the organism in Eukaryota, Metazoa, Chordata, Actinopteri, Cypriniformes, Cyprinidae. The record is from RefSeq and is a predicted model, not a curated record.
ACCAGCCCUGCGCCGCACAUGAGGGAGCUUCUCUCCGGUUUCCAGAGCAUAUUCAUGAGGAGCUUCACCUGUCAACUCCUGACAAAAGAAAUGAAAAACAAACAUGAACAAAGUUACCGGGAAACCGCUAUUUUUAUAGCUCCAAAAGGGACACCUAGUGGAAAAGAACAAAUAUCCAUCUUCAUUCAGACCAACGGAGAAGACCAACAAGAGGAUGGGCAAUAUGCUAAUUUUUCAUGUUGACAAAUCAAUAAUUGGGGUACUUUAAUCUAACUGAUAGAACAGACAGGAAGUGGACCGCAGCAUGCAGGAAGUGGCUCAUAAAGCGGGAAGCGAGUGCGGGAAACAGAAAUGGGAGGCUCAGACUGACCUAUAACAACAAUGCCGGCAGAAACCCUCAUGCACAAAAACACCCUCUCAGGGCCAGAGUCAUUUCCUAAAGAUCAGCUGUAAACAAGGAGGCACAGACAAUGAGGAGAAAGGUCAAAAAACUCAUAGACUGUAACUCACACGCUUUCCUGUCUGCAACCUAAAUAAGCGCCAAAAACCCAAAUGUGUUGGUCUCAACGCCCAGUGGUGAUCUGUUCUUCUCACUGAAUCAGAAAGUAGUUAUUAUCGCAGCUGCAUGAGAUGGGCGGCUCUCUGGACGGCCCUAUGAUUGAGAAGCCGUGAAUGAUGGGUGUCUCUUAAAAAUUCAGAUGGUUAUAAUUAUAAAGAAAGAUCAAUAGUCCCAUAUGCGAACUAACAUGGAGAAAAGAGCAGCAGAUGAGUAAAAUGCACGUCCAAAUUAAAGAAAGCAACAGAACAAUGUGGCUAUUGUUUGUUGUCAUGACCUAAUUGUGCCCAUCACACACACUCAAGGGUCAGAGGAGGACAAAUAAAAGUAAGCGGGCUUAUAACGUAACACAAAUAUGUGCAUAUAGCUAGAGCAAACAUGGUGUCUAUGCCUGUCUUGGUUUGCCUAGUGUUGGGUUUCAGCUAAUGUAGUCACGCUGUUGUCGGUUUGAGCUUGAUAAGAUCCCUGAUCUUCAACUGAUGCAUUUCCCAAUUUCUAAGCAUUUAUUGUAGUGUUUACCUAAAUCUUCAAAUGUUUUGAUUAAACCCUUUUCGCACUAUUUAUCCUU